This 407-nucleotide ribosomal RNA is filed under the name Acidobacteriota bacterium. RNAcentral describes it as "Acidobacteria bacterium partial 16S ribosomal RNA". It matches the Rfam family "Bacterial small subunit ribosomal RNA", at positions 355 to 776 of the family's 1533-position model. The record is from RNAcentral. Lineage: Bacteria; Pseudomonadati; Acidobacteriota.
UGGGGAAUUUUCCGCAAUGGGCGAAAGCCUGACGGAGCAAUACCGCGUGAGGGAGGAAGGUUUUUGGAUUGUAAACCUCUUUUUUAAAGGAAGAAGAAAGUGACGGUACUUUAAGAAUAAGCAUCGGCUAACUCCGUGCCAGCAGCCGCGGUAAUACGGAGGAUGCAAGCGUUAUCCGGAAUCAUUGGGCGUAAAGCGUCCGCAGGUGGUUAAUCAAGUCUGCUGUUAAAGACAGAAGCUCAACUUCUGGUCGGCAGUGGAAACUGGGGAACUAGAGUACGGUAGGGGUUGAGGGAAUUCCCAGUGUAGCGGUGAAAUGCGUAGAUAUUGGGAAGAACACCAGUGGCGAAGGCGCUCAACUGGGCCGUAACUGACACUCAGGGACGAAAGCUAGGGUAGCGAAAGGG